This 1684-nucleotide ribosomal RNA is filed under the name metagenome. RNAcentral's name for it is "bacterial LSU rRNA". It matches the Rfam family "Bacterial large subunit ribosomal RNA", at positions 1163 to 2925 of the family's 2925-position model. The record is from RNAcentral.
AAAAAAAAUAUAACGGGGCUAAGCAUGCAACCGAAGCUUAGGAUUGUUCUUUGAACAGUGGUAGGGGAGCGUCGUGUACGGGGUGAAGUCGCAGCGGAAGCAGCGGUGGACUGUACAGGAGUGAGAAUGCCGGAAUGAGUAGCGAGAAUUAUGUGGGAAUCAUAAUGGCCGAAAAUCUAAGGUUUCUUGGGGAAGGUUCGUCCGCCCAAGGUAAGCCGGGAGCUAAGGCGAGGCCGCGAGGCGUAGUCGAUGCACAUACGGUAGAGAUUCCGUAGCCACCGAACUUUAAACCAGAAGGACACUUUCAGAUAGCGGGACCCAGCCGUUGGUAGAGCUGGGCGCAAGGGACCGAAAUAUAGUAGGGAAGUCCGCGAUGCUGGGAGGCGAGAAAAGCUCUGGUGUACACUAAGGUGCCCGUACCGCAAACCGACACAGGUAGAUGAGGAGAGAAUCCUAAGGCCAACGGGAGAAGGGUUGUUAAGGAACUCGGCAAAUUGACCCCGUAACUUCGGAAGAAGGGGAGCCUCGAAAGAGGCCGCAGUGAAUAGGCCCAAGCAACUGUUUACCAAAAACACAGGUCUAUGCUAAAUCGAAAGAUGACGUAUAUGGGCUGACGCCUGCCCGGUGCCGGAAGGUUAAGAGGAGAGCUUAGCGCAAGCGAAGGUUUGAAUUGAAGCCCCGGUAAACGGCGGCCGUAACAAUAACGGUCCUAAGGUAGCGAAAUUCCUUGUCAGGUAAGUUCUGACCCGCACGAAUGGCGUAAUGAUUUGGGCACUGUCUCGACAGCCCGCCCGGCGAAAUUGUAGUACUGGUGAAGAUGCCAGUUACCCGCAACUAGACGGAAAGACCCCAUGGAGCUUUACUGCAGUUUAAUACUGGGAAUCGGUAAUUCAUGUACAGGAUAGGUGGGAGACUGGGAAGCACGGCCGUCAGGUCGUGUGGAGUCACCGGUGGGAUACCACUCUUGGAUUGCUGGUUUUCCUAACCUGCGGCCCUGAAUCGGGUCGGGGGACACUGUUAGACGGGCAGUUUGACUGGGGCGGUCGCCUCCAAAAGAGUAACGGAGGCGCUCAAAGGUUCGUUCAGCACGGACGGAAAUCGUGCAUUGAGUGUAAACGCAUAAACGAGCCUAACUGCGAGACCGACGGGUCGAGCAGUAACGAAAGUUGGAGUUAGUGAUCCGGUGGUAUGUGAGUGGAAAUGCCAUCGCUCAACGGAUAAAAGCUACCCUGGGAUAACAGGCUGAUCUCCCCCAAGCGUCCACAGCGACGGGGAGGUUUGGCACCUCGAUGUCGGCUCGUCGCAUCCUGGGGCUGUAUUCGGUCCCAAGGGUUUGGCUGUUCGCCAAUUAAAGCGGCACGCGAGCUGGGUUCAGAACGUCGUGAGACAGUUCGGUCCCUAUCUGUUGCGGGCGUAAGAGAUUUGAAGGGAGCUGUCCUUAGUACGAGAGGACCGGGAUGGACGUACCUCUGGUGCACCAGUUGUCCUGCCAAGGGCAUAGCUGGGUAGCUAUGUACGGGCGAGAUAAACGCUGAAAGCAUCUAAGCGUGAAACUCUCCCUAAGAUGAGAUCUCUCAUCCAUUAUGGAGUAAGGGCCCAGAAAGACGAUCUGGUUGAUAGGCCGGAGGUGGAAGCACGGUAACGUGUGCAGCUGACCGGUACUAAUAGCCCGAGGGCUUGACCU